Molecule: long non-coding RNA, 805 nt
Organism: Saimiri boliviensis boliviensis (Bolivian squirrel monkey)
Lineage: Eukaryota; Metazoa; Chordata; Mammalia; Primates; Cebidae
Source: Ensembl
AUGCAAACAGCUUGUCAAGCCGUACAGCAUCAAAGAGGCCGGAGACAGUAUAACAAACUGCGAAACCUGCUGAAGGAUGCCCGUCGUGAUUGCAUCCUCUUUGCUAAUGAAUUCCAGCAAUGCUGCUAUCUGCCUCGGGAAAGAGGAGAGUCCAUGGAGAAGUGGCAGACCAGGAGCAUAUACAACGCGGCUGUUUGGUACUAUCAUCACUGCCAGGACAGGAUGCCAAUUGUUAUGGUGACAGAAGAUGAAGAGGCAAUUCAGCAAUAUGGAAGUGAAACAGAAGGAGUAUUUGUGAUUUCCUUCAAGAAUUACCUGGACAAUUUCUGGCCUGAUUUAAAAGCUGCCCGCGAGCUUUGUGAUUCUAUUCUUCAGUCUCGACGGGAAAGAGAGAAUGAGAGUCAGGAGAGCCAUGGGAAGGAGUAUCCAGAACAUCUUCCCCUGGAAGUGUUAGAAGCUGGAAUUAAAUCUGGACGCUAUAUCCAGGUGAGGGUGCUAAUUUAGAAUGUGUCAGGGCUGGGUGUGGUGGCUCAUGCCUAUAAUCCCAACACUUUGGCUAAGGCUGGUAGAUCACUUGAGCCCAAGAGCUGGAGUCUAGACUGGGCAACAUAGUGAGACCCUGUCUCUACAAACAAUUUUAAAAUUAGCCAGGCAUAGUGGUGUGUACCUAUAGUCCCAGAUUACUUGGGAGGCUGAGGCAGGAGGAUCACUUCAGCCUGGAUGGUUGAGGCAGCCAUGAUUGUGCCACUGUACUCCAGCCUGGGCAACAGCAAGAACCUGUCUCAAGGAAAAAAAAAAAAAAAAA